Molecule: ribosomal RNA, 448 nt
Filed under: uncultured bacterium
Lineage: Bacteria
Description: SSU rRNA
Rfam family: Bacterial small subunit ribosomal RNA
Source: RNAcentral
AGAGCGAACGCUGGCGGCAGGCCUAACACAUGCAAGUCGAGCGGCCGUAGCAAUACGGCAGCGGCAGACGGGAGAGUAACACGUGGGAACGCGCCCUUCGGUUCGGAAUAACUCAGGGAAACUUGGGCUAAUACCGGAUACGCCCUUACGGGGAAAGAUUUAUUGCCGAAGGAACGGCCCGCGUCCGAUUAGCUUGUUGGUGAGGUAACGGCUCACCAAGGCGACGAUCGGUAGCUGGUCUGAGAGGAUGACCAGCCUCACUGGGACUGAGACACGGCCCAGACUCCUACGGGAGGCAGCAGUGGGGAAUAUUGGACAAUGGGCGCAAGCCUGAUCCAGCCAUGCCGCGUGGGUGAUGAAGGCCCUAGGGUUGUAAAGCUCUUUUGUGCGGGAAGAUAAUGACGGUACCGCAAGAAUAAGCCCCGGCUAACUUCGUGCCAGCAGCCGC